CGACCUGUGAUGUAAAGGCAGCAUACAAGAAUUUGACUCUUGUUGAAAAGGUUCGAAUCCUUUCAGGUCUA
RNAcentral lists this transfer RNA (71 nucleotides) under Flavobacteriaceae bacterium. RNAcentral's name for it is "tRNA-Gln". It matches the Rfam family "tRNA". Rfam says of the family: Transfer RNA (tRNA) molecules are approximately 80 nucleotides in length. The record is from RNAcentral. Lineage: Bacteria; Pseudomonadati; Bacteroidota; Flavobacteriia; Flavobacteriales; Flavobacteriaceae.